RNAcentral lists this ribosomal RNA (406 nucleotides) under uncultured bacterium. Its description in RNAcentral is "partial 16S ribosomal RNA". It matches the Rfam family "Bacterial small subunit ribosomal RNA", at positions 29 to 526 of the family's 1533-position model. The record is from RNAcentral.
AUUGAACGCUGGCGGCAGGCCUAACACAUGCAAGUCGAGCGAGCGGCGGACGGGUGAGUAAUGUCUGGGAAACUGCCCGAGGGAGGGGGAUAACUACUGGAAACGGUAGCUAAUACCGCAUACCAUCAGAUGUGCCCAGAUGGGAUGAGCUGGUAGGUGGGGGAACGGCUAACCUAGGCGACGAUCCCUAGAUGUGGUGAGAGGAGGACCAGCCACACUGGAACUGAGACACGGUCCAGCAUCCUACGGGAGGCAGCAGUGGGGACUAUUGCAAAAUGGGCGCAAGCCUGAUGCAGCCAUGCCGCGUGUGUGAAGAAGGCCUGCGGGUUGUAAAGCACUUUCAGCGGGGAGGCGUUACCCGCAGAAGAAGCACCGGCUAACUCCGUGCCAGCCGCCGCGGUAAUUC